UCACUGUAGCCUGGAAGAAGUUACAGGCUGGCAGCGCAACCCCGUGCAACAGCUGGGUGGGGGUGAGGCGUGGCUGCUGGACAAGCCAGGGAGGGAAGUUAAUUGGCCUUGACAGGCGCCAGCAGUUAAGCGGCCCUUCUCACCUGCCUAUUGCUCUCCUUACUAACCUUUGCUCGGCCAGGAAUCUCCCCUUCCUCCUCUGCCUGUUCCAGCCCGUCCCAAGCAGCCAAGUCUGAACUCUUAGCUCAUGUCAACCCCCCUGAACUCUGAGCUGAGGCUCCAGCUUCCGCCCGCCCUGCCCUCCUCUGAGUUCACUCCCGAAGCCAUCUCUCCUCAGGAUUUUGGCGGGGGGAGGGUCUAACCUGUACCGCGGUGGGUUUGCUUUUAAGCCUAGGCAAGGUGAUUAAUGUGCAUGCUGUCGUGUCCGACUCUUUGCGACUCCAUGGACUGCAGCCUAUCAGGCUCCUCUGUCCUUGGGGUUCUCCAGGCAUGAAUACUGGAGUGGGUUGCCAUUUCCUUCUCCAGAGGAUCUUCCCGACCCAGGGAUCGAAACUGGGUCUCCUGCAUUGACAGGUGGAUUCUUUACCACUGCACCCCCCACCCCCCCAAAAAAAACACAACCUGAAUUUACCAGAUGCCCUAUCUCCGGCCAGUUACCAAGACAUGCCAACCACACCUGCUCCCACUCAUCCCUUCCCUUGCCCACCAGUGUCUCGGAGAGUCUACAGCAAUGAAACCCACCCAGAAGUCCUGCUCCAAUUGGUUUUCAUGACCAUGUGAUUGACCCUGAAUUGAAACACGAUAAUGGAAUGCUUCUAAAUACACAUUCUUCUUGGAAAAUGUAUGAAGUUUUUUUCUUAAUUUUUUUAAUGGAAUCAGAGGACUUGGUUCUUGGACAGACUGUUGGUGUGAGGGUUCCCGGUGCCACCCAGAGGGAACCCACCUGGUGGGAUGCCAGGCAGCGGGCUGGCCGCGGGGCGGCCCCGAGGCCUGCUUUGAGAGCGUGCCUGUAUCACCGGUGCAGGACAGCGCCCCCUCCCGGAGUGCAGCCUUCUCCAAACCUCCUGCCUCCUCCCCUCUGGCUAUAUGAGUCUGAGGAAGCCAUCCCCAAAGUUUUGAUGCUCCUUUUUUUCUAACUUUGUAUUUUGUAUUGGGGUAUAGCCAAUUAACAAAGAUGUGACAGCUUCAGGUGAGCAGUGAAGGGACUCAGCCAUGCAUAAACAUGCAGCCAUUCUCCCCCAAACUCCCCUCCCAUCCAGGCUGCCACAUAACAC
This is a long non-coding RNA of Bos taurus (domestic cattle), 1274 nucleotides long. The record is from Ensembl. Lineage: Eukaryota; Metazoa; Chordata; Mammalia; Artiodactyla; Bovidae.